GACAGGAUGGCCGAGUGGUUAAGGCGUUUUUAUACUAAGCAAAUUCCGAAUGGAGCGCGGGUUCGAUUCCCGCUCCUGUCG
Molecule: non-coding RNA, 81 nt
Organism: Anaeramoeba flamelloides
Lineage: Eukaryota; Anaeramoebidae
Source: the annotation of a GenBank genome assembly